Long non-coding RNA from Varroa destructor (honeybee mite), 1008 nucleotides. Lineage: Eukaryota; Metazoa; Arthropoda; Arachnida; Mesostigmata; Varroidae. The record is from RefSeq and is a predicted model, not a curated record.
AGCGUUGAUACCAACGAAUAUGGAAAAGGGCUUUGGAUGACACUACUUCAACCCGUUCCAUUCAUUAAUACUAUCAGGCUGUUGGCAAAACAGACCGGAUGGUUCGUUACCACAACAACAAAGUAUUAUCAUAAUGUUCUUCAUCAGAGGUGGUAGAAAUCAGUAUUUUUAGAUUAAAGCAGAGUGUUCUAACGACCGCACUUCAGACUUGUCAACCUGUAUUUCGUGGACCACAGCUUUAAGUCUGAUAGCGAUACCGAAAACAGACGAGAAAUGCCCCUGUCGUUCCUGGAAAAAGCCGUGUUCAUAUCCACUUUUCCAAUUGUUGGUCGUGUGAAGCCACCUAAAGAUCAGAAGAAUUUCCCUAUGUGUAUUGAACAACAUCUACUCAUUAACAACGACAAUGUUAUUCCAGUUAGGCUUUUCAGGUAAUCGAAUACCCUAACUGUUAGGAGUUUAGUGGAAGCAUUACAAGCCAUCACGCGACCCUCGGAUUUUCAUCCGCUGCAAUCGGCCACCGCAGGCCGAGAUGGCGUACAAUAUUUUCAUCGUGACGUGCGACAACAGUGCGGAGCAUAAUAUAUUCAUAUCAACGCCCUGUUCAGCUUUGGGAGCUAUUCGUUACUCUCCGACUUUUAUAGGACUGUCUAUAUUACUAUGUCCGGUGCUCAUCGGUUGAAGGAAGACAUCAGUUGAUAGCGAGAUGUACUGCCCGCUUCGGACAGCUGAUUACCUAUCACAUGAACUGUGCCAUUGUUGAAAGCGUACGAGUGCACGUACCCAUUACCUGCCUAGUAUUGGGCCUUGUAUUGUCUGUGGGUUAAUGAGCUGUUGGUAUAGUAUGUACUCUGUACUCUACUCAACUAUACUGAAGAAUCAUACGGCAAAAAAAUGAGUUAUGUCAAUUGUAUUUGUUAUAAAUGUAAAUAGAUACGUUACUUUAACCGUACUUACAACACAAGUAGAACUUAUCGAUGUCAGUUUCUCUUCUUUUGAUCGAAAUUUGCG